UGCAGUCGAACGGGACUUUCAUUGUAGCAAUAUGAUGGAAGUUCAGUGGCGUAAGGGUGCGUAACACGUGGGAAAUCUGCCGAGAAGUGGGGGAUAGCUCGCCGAAAGGCGAAUUAAUACCGCAUGUGGUCAGCGAGGACAUCCUCGCGAAACCAAAGCCGGGGCAACCUGGCGCUUCUUGAUGAUCCCGCGGCCUAUCAGCUAGUUGGCGGGGUAAAAGCCCACCAAGGCUAUGACGGGUAGCUGGUCUGAGAGGACGACCAGCCACACUGGAACUGAGACACGGUCCAGACACCUACGGGUGGCAGCAGUCGAGAAUUUUUCUCAAUGGGGGCAACCCUGAAGGAGCGACGCCGCGUGGAGGAUGAAGGUCUUCGGAUUGUAAACUCCUGUCAUUAGGGAACAAAUCUUCCAAGUAACUACUGGAAGUCUGAUAGUACCUGAAGAGGAAGAGACGGCUAACUCUGUGCCAGCAGCCGCGGUAAUACAGAGGUCUCAACCGUUGUUCGGAUUCAUUGGGCGUAAAGGGUGCGUAGGCGGCGGGGCAAGUCAGGUGUGAAAUCUCGGGGCUCAACCCCGAAACUGCACUUGAUACUGCUUCGCUAGAGUACUGGAGAGGAGACUGGAAUUUACGGUGUAGCAGUGAAAUGCGUAGAUAUCGUAAGGAAGACCAGUGGCGAAGGCGAGUCUCUGGACAGUUACUGACGCUGAGCACGAAGGCCAGGGGAGCAAACGGGAUUAGAUACCCCGGUAGUCCUGGCAGUAAACGGUGCACGUUUGGUGUGGGAGGAUUCGACCCCUUCCGUGCCGGACUAACGCGUUAAACGUGCCGCCUGGGAAGUACGGUCGCAAGAUAAAACUCAAAGAAAUGACGGGGGCCCGCACAAGCGGUGGA
This 895-nucleotide ribosomal RNA is filed under the name uncultured Verrucomicrobiae bacterium. Its description in RNAcentral is "bacterial SSU rRNA". It matches the Rfam family "Bacterial small subunit ribosomal RNA", at positions 56 to 936 of the family's 1533-position model. The record is from RNAcentral. Lineage: Bacteria; Pseudomonadati; Verrucomicrobiota; Verrucomicrobiia.